RNAcentral lists this ribosomal RNA (293 nucleotides) under uncultured bacterium. Its description in RNAcentral is "partial 16S ribosomal RNA". It matches the Rfam family "Bacterial small subunit ribosomal RNA", at positions 505 to 796 of the family's 1533-position model. The record is from RNAcentral.
GUGUCAGCAGCCGCGGUAAGACGAACCGUGCGAACGUUAUUCGGAAUCACUGGGCUUAAAGCGCGUGUAGGCGGGCAGGCACGUCGGUCGCUGAAAGCCCCCGGCUCAACCGGGGAAGGGGCGCCGAUACGACCGGCCUGGAGGGGCGUAGGGGGGACUGGAACUUCCGGUGGAGCGGUGAAAUGCGUUGAGAUCGGAAGGAACGCCCGUGGCGAAAGCGAGUCCCUGGACGCCAUCUGACGCUGAGACGCGAAAGCCAGGGGAGCGAACGGGAUUAGAUACCCCGGUAGUCC